This 159-nucleotide ribosomal RNA is filed under the name unidentified bacterium WP11. RNAcentral describes it as "partial 16S ribosomal RNA". It matches the Rfam family "Bacterial small subunit ribosomal RNA", at positions 355 to 507 of the family's 1533-position model. The record is from RNAcentral. Lineage: Bacteria; Pseudomonadati; Pseudomonadota; Betaproteobacteria.
UGGGGAAUUUUGGACAAUGGGCGAAAGCUGAUCCAGCCAUGCCGCGUGCAGGAUGAAGGCCUUCGGGUUGUAAACUGCUUUUGUACGGAACGAAAAGACUCCUUCUAAUAAAGGGGGUCCAUGACGGUACCGUAAGAAUAAGCACCGGCUAACUACGUG